GACGAACGCUGGCGGCGUGCUUAACACAUGCAAGUCGAACGGAAAGGCCCUGCUUGCCGGGUACUCGAGUGGCGAACGGGUGAGUAACACGUGGGUGAUCUGCCCUGCACUUCGGGAUAAGCCUGGGAAACUGGGUCUAAUACCGGAUAGGAGCCAUUUUUAGUGUGAUGGUUGGAAAGUUUUUUCGGUGUAGGAUGAGCUCGCGGCCUAUCAGCUUGUUGGUGGGGUAAUGGCCUACCAAGGCGGCGACGGGUAGCCGGCCUGAGAGGGUGGACGGCCACAUUGGGACUGAGAUACGGCCCAGACUCCUACGGGAGGCAGCAGUGGGGAAUAUUGCACAAUGGGCGCAAGCCUGAUGCAGCGACGCCGCGUGGGGGAUGACGGCCUUAGGGUUGUAAACGCCUUUCGCUAGGGACGAAGCUUUUUGUGACGGUACCUAGAUAAGAAGCACCGGCUAACUACGUG
This 465-nucleotide ribosomal RNA is filed under the name uncultured bacterium. RNAcentral describes it as "partial 16S ribosomal RNA". It matches the Rfam family "Bacterial small subunit ribosomal RNA", at positions 28 to 507 of the family's 1533-position model. The record is from RNAcentral.